Molecule: ribosomal RNA, 373 nt
Filed under: uncultured bacterium
Lineage: Bacteria
Description: bacterial SSU rRNA
Rfam family: Bacterial small subunit ribosomal RNA
Source: RNAcentral
GACGAACGCUGGCGGCGUGCUUAACACAUGCAAGUGGAGCGACGAACCAGGCUUCGGCCUGGGGCAGAGCCGCGAACGGGUGAGUAACACGUGGGUAACGUGCCCCAAUGACUGGGACAACCCGAGGAAACUCGGGCUAAUACCGGAUAUGCCCCCUNACGAGAGUGAGGUGUGUAAAGGAAGCUUCGGCCUCCGCAUUGGGAUCGGCCCGCGGCGCAUUAGCUUGUUGGUGGGGAACGGCCUACCAAGGCAACGAUGCGUAGCUGGUCUGAGAGGACGAUCAGCCACACUGGGACUGAGACACGGCCCAGACUCCUACGGGAGGCAGCAGUGGGGAAUCUUGCGCAAUGCGCGAAAGCGUGACGCAGCAACG